Molecule: long non-coding RNA, 2044 nt
Organism: Choloepus didactylus (southern two-toed sloth)
Lineage: Eukaryota; Metazoa; Chordata; Mammalia; Pilosa; Megalonychidae
Exons: 3
Source: RefSeq, a predicted model, not a curated record
ACUUGUUCUGUUGGGUACCCUCUCUCUCCCCCUGCUCUGAGUAUACUUUCCCUCAGUAGCUCUGGCUUUUUUAAGUAAAAGUGUUGAGCAUUGCCUGGGAGUCAAAUUUUUAAUGACACAAGGUGUUUUUAGGUCCUUUAAGUUUAUUUUAAGCUAUCGAGUUAGUCUCUAAACAAAGUUAUUUUUAAAGUAGCCUUAUUUUGGAAUAAUUUUAGAUAUAUAGAAAACUUGCAAGGAAAAUACAGAAAGUUCCUGUAUGCCCUUCACCCAGCUUCCCCUAAUGGUAGCACUUUACGUAACUGGACACGUUGGCCAAACCAAGAAAUCAACAUUGCUUACAACACUGCUGACUAAACCACAGACCUUUUUUGUCUUUUGUCCCUUUUUCCCUGUUGUCCUUUUUCUGACCCGGGACCCACCCCCCAUUGCAUUCAGUUGUCACGUUGCCUCUGAUCUGUUUCUUAGUUUUCCGUGAAGUGAGGGUGACCUCGUUUUUCAAUGACCUUGACACUUUUGAGGAGUACUUGUCAGUUAUUUGUUAAGUGUCCCUCAGUUUGGGGUGGUCUGGCAGUUUCUUCUGUGGGACUGGGGUUGUGGGUUUGGGAGGAAGACCCCAGAGGAGAGGGGCCCUUCUCAGUGCAUUGUAUUCGGGGGACGGGACACCCACAUGACUCAUGGGUCAUGUUAAACCACCUGAGUUUUAAUUUGCUAGAAUGAAACCUCUGACUCCGCUCUGCUCUUGAAUCCUUGCCGUGUGUGUGUCUGAGAUCCUGAGACAACCCCAGUGUUUUUACAUUGAGAGGGGCUUCUGAGGCCACCCAGUUGGGUCCAUCCAGUUUCCAGGUGAAUAGCCUGGAGCCUGGAGGGUCCUGACACAGGCCCCUUGGCAGAGCCGCCCUGGGGUCCAGGCUGCCUCUCUGCUCUGACCACAUUGUGCAGGCCUGGUGCCCUUCCCUGAGACACGCUGGAGGAACAGAGAUGUCCCCAGGAGUGCAGCGGGAGUCUGAGCUCACUGGUGGAACUGGGUUCUGUUUAGGGGUGGGUCAGUGUGCCCCCAAGGUGUUGGGAGGCCCUCGGCCCCUCUGUGCAGCAAGUGGGAGGACAGCUCCAUGUUGCUUGGCCUUGGUGAAAGUAGGUGGCCGGCUUUGCUGCCUUCUCCUCUAGCCUUUCCUCCUUCAGGUGAGGCUGCAGUGCUGUUUAUUGUCUGAAGACCUUCGUCCCGAGUUACAGACCGGCCCGUGGGCUGCUGCUUUGUUUGAGGCUUUUAUACUGAACCAAGAACAGAGAGUUGUUCUCCCCGAAGUUCAGGAGACAGGCAUCCAGGAGCUUCAUUCUCUGGUUUAUUUUCCUACCCAUCUGCAGAGUCGCCUCUCCAACCGCCUUUCCACACGACCACAGCAAAAACAAGGCAGUUAGGUGAUUGUGAGUUGGUGGGAAAAAGCCAGGGCACGGGUUUAAUGGGAGAGAACGUUGAAGAACAGGGGUGACCCCCUCAUCUGCUGAGGAUAUGGGGCCUCCCCUGGCGGUGGGCUGACAGGCUUUGGAGCACCAGGAUCGCCCGCCUGAAGGUGCGUGCUCAGGUGCUCGGAGCGGCCCAGGGAAGGUGGGGUCCCGCACCACCACACCUGUCCACCCACCCGCCCUUCCUUGUUUCUGGUGACUAACUCAGUAACUGGUGGCCGUGGAGGUGAAUGUAAGGCUUGACAAAACUGAUCUUUCUCUGCACACGCAUGUGUCGUGAAGUUUCCGUGGAAGCUAGGUGUUCACGCUGAGACGACACCUCUCCAGACCUCUGCUGGCCGUGUUACCCCCGGUGAGAAACUCUUCAGAACGCUCAGAUGAGGAGCCCAGGAUGAGGGGCAUCUGUUCGUGGCGCCCCUUCAGGUCCCCCACUGGAAGUUAAUGAUUUCUGGCCCACUGGUAUGAGCUGCAUGGAGAAAAUAUUAGUUCAUUCGUCUUCUUGAUAGCAAAUAUUCAGCAGACACUUGGAACCAUAUAAAUGAGCUGACGGGCAGAGGGAACUCAGUGAAGCUAUGAGUGACGU